This is a long non-coding RNA of Momordica charantia (bitter melon), 549 nucleotides long. RefSeq lists it as uncharacterized. Lineage: Eukaryota; Viridiplantae; Streptophyta; Magnoliopsida; Cucurbitales; Cucurbitaceae. The record is from RefSeq and is a predicted model, not a curated record.
GGUACCUAAUGCAUACUAGAUUAAUUAAUUAAACUCAAACGCUCCAAAUUUUGUCUACUCCAACAAUCUCUCUCAUCGCCUUGCUGUUAUUAAGACUGUUGGGGCUUUGACGAGCUUGGCAUUGAAGGAGGCAAAAGAGCUCAUUGAAGAUUUGCCAAAGAAGUAUAGAGAAGGGAUUUCGAAGGAAGAGGCGAAGGAGCUCAUUGAAAGCCUAGAUGGAAACUUUGAGACGAGUUUUUUAGCAGAUUGAAGAAUCAAGUUAAUUUCGACGGGAAGUAUGAAAUGUGGAAGAUGAAAUAGGCAUGCGAGUUACGAGGUAACAGAGAGGAGCAUUCAUCAACUUGAAUACUAUUUUCCAAUGCUCUUCUCAGCUAUGUGUCAAAUCUCUUUAUUUCAUUACUCGGUUUACUAUUGUAAAAGUUAAAAAGAUGAUGUUUUCUUGCAUUUUAAGUUCCUCUUUUGUUCAAGUUUUGGAAAAGAUCAUGUUGAAAGUUUAGUUGAACAUUAGUUUUUGUUUACAAUGUAGUGAGAUUAUUGAUGCGUGGACUA